This 401-nucleotide long non-coding RNA is filed under the name Capsicum annuum. RNAcentral's name for it is "long non-coding RNA (CANN_LNC013048)". Lineage: Eukaryota; Viridiplantae; Streptophyta; Magnoliopsida; Solanales; Solanaceae. The record is from RNAcentral.
UGGUUCAUGCCUAAGAACCAUAGAAGUAGAAAGGGUUUACUAUCAUGCAUUGAGAAAGGCAGAGCGGUCUGUUGUCCUGACACAACCAUGGCUGCACCAGUUCUUUCAUGGAAAGCUUCCUACUCUUUACCACGGACAACCUGCAGCUUAUCCUCGGUUUUGUGACCUUUUUCCUACGAGCCUGCAUCCACAUUUAUGCUGUCAUGUGUAUAGUGGCUGCACCAGUUCUUUCAUGGAAAGCUUCCUACUCUUUACCACGGACAACCUGCAGCUUAUCCUCGGUUUUGUGAGCUUUUUCCUACGAGCCUGCAUCCACAUUUAUGCUGUCAUGUGUAUAAUGUUAUUGCAAACAUUGUAUUCAUUAAUGACCCUGAUACCAGCUAUAUUGAACCAGACAGUAU